RNAcentral lists this ribosomal RNA (1212 nucleotides) under metagenome. RNAcentral's name for it is "bacterial SSU rRNA". It matches the Rfam family "Bacterial small subunit ribosomal RNA", at positions 195 to 1390 of the family's 1533-position model. The record is from RNAcentral.
GCAAGAUUAAAGGCGGCUUCGGCUGUCGCUUUGGGAUGGGCUCGCGGCCUAUCAGCUAGUUGGUGAGGUAAAAGCUCACAAAGGCGAUGACGGGUAGCUGGUCUGAGAGGACGACCAGUCACACUGGAACUGAGACACGGUCCAGAUACCUACGGGUGGCAGCAGUCGAGAAUCAUUCGCAAUGGACGAAAGUCUGACGGUGCGACGCCGCGUGGAGGAUGAAGGCCCUAGGGUCGUAAACUCCUGUCAUCAGGGAGUAAUGACUUACGCAGUAACUGGCGUAGGUAGUGAUAGUACCUGAAGAGGAAGGGACGGCAAACUUCGUGCCAGCAGCCGCGGUAAUACGAAGGUCCCAAGCGUUGUUCGGAUUUACUGGGCGUAAAGCGUCUGUAGGCGGGAUGGUAAGUCAGAUGUGAAAUCCCGGGGCUCAACCCCGGAACUGCAUCCGAUACUGCCAACCUAGAGGGUCGGAGGGGAGUCUGGAAUUCUCGGUGUAGCAGUGAAAUGCGUAGAUAUCGAGAGGAACACUCGUGGCGAAGGCGAGACUCUGGACGACACCUGACGCUGAGAGACGAAGGCCAGGGGAGCGAAAAGGAUUAGAUACCCUUGUAGUCCUGGCAGUAAACGGUGCACGCUUGGUGUGGGGAGGUUCGACCCUUUCCGUGCCGGAGCUAACGCGUUAAGCGUGCCGCCUGGGGAGUACGGUCGCAAGAUUAAAACUCAAAGAAAUUGACGGGGACCCGCACAAGCGGUGGAGCAUGUGGCUUAAUUCGAUGCAACGCGAAGAACCUUACCUGGGCUUGACAUGUUAGUCGUAGAUUUGUGAAAGCUUAUCGUCACUUCGGGUGGACUAUCACAGGUGCUGCAUGGCUGUCGUCAGCUCGUGUCGUGAGAUGUUGGGUUAAGUCCCGUAACGAGCGCAACCCCUAUGAACUGUUGCCAGCGGAUAAUGCCGGGGACUCUGUUCAGACUGCCCAGAUUAACUGGGAGGAAGGAGGGGAUGACGUCAAGUCAGUAUGGCCCUUACGCCCAGGGCUGCACACGUGCUACAAUGUCCAGUACAAUGUGAACCGAUACCGUGAGGUGGAGGAAAUCCUGAAAACUGGGCUCAGUUCGGAUUGUAGGCUGCAACUCGCCUACAUGAAGUUGGAAUCGCUAGUAAUGGCUCAUCAGCUACGGAGCCGUGAAUACGUUCCCGGGUCUUGUACACAC